RNAcentral lists this ribosomal RNA (1475 nucleotides) under uncultured bacterium. RNAcentral's name for it is "bacterial SSU rRNA". It matches the Rfam family "Bacterial small subunit ribosomal RNA". The record is from RNAcentral.
AGAGUUUGAUCAUGGCUCAGAACGAACGCUGGCGGUAUGCUUAACACAUGCAAGUCGAACGUGAAAACCUCUUCGGGGGUGAGUAAAGUGGCGCACGGGUGAGUAAAACAUAGAUAACCUGCCUUUUAGCUUGGGAUAACUUCCUGAAAGGGGAGCUAAGACCAGAUAAAAUAAGGAAGCUAGUGCUACCUUAUUGAAAGAUUUAUCACUAAAAGAUGGGUCUGUGUGGCAUUAGUUUGUUGGUGGGGUAAUGGCCUACCAAGACUACGAUGCCUAGCGGGUCUGAGAGGAUGAUCCGCCACACUGGAACUGAGACACGGUCCAGACUCCUGCGGGAGGCAGCAGUGGGGAAUCUUGCGCAAUGGGCGCAAGCUUGACGCAGCAAUACCGCGUGAGUGAAGAAGGCCUUCGGGUCGUAAAGCUCUUUAUGUAAGCGAAGAUAAUGACGUUAGCUUACGAAUAAGCACCGGCUAACUCCGUGCCAGCAGCCGCGGUAAUACGGAGGGUGCGAGCGUUGUUCGGAAUUACUGGGCGUAAAGGGCAUGUAGGCGGNUUUAAAAAGCCAAGGGUGAAAUCCCAGAGCUCAACUCUGGAACUGCUUUUGGAACUGUUAGACUAGAGAUAGUCAGAGGCAAGUGGAAUUCCUGGUGUAGAAGUGAAAUUCGUAGAUAUCAGGAGGAACACCAGCGGCGAAGGCGGCUUGCUGGGGCUAUUCUGACGCUGAGAUGCGAAAGCGUAGGUAGCAAACAGGAUUAGAUACCCUGGUAGUCUACGCCCUAAACAAUGAGUGCCAGCUGUAUGUGGUUUCGACACCACAUGUGGUGCAGCUAACGCAAUGAGCACUCCGCCUGGGAAGUAUGGUCGCAAGGCUAAAACUCAAAGGAAUUGACGGGGACCCGCACAAGCGGUGGNAACAUGUGGUUUAAUUCGAAGCAACGCGAAGAACCUUACCUGGGUUUGACAUCCUCGGAAAGCGAUAGAGAUAUUGUUUCCCCUUCGGGGGUCGAGUGACAGGUGCUGCAUGGCUGUCGUCAGCUCGUGUCGUGAGAUGUUGGGUUAAGUCCCGCAACGAGCGCAACCCCUACCCUUAAUUGCCAGCGGUUCGGCCGGGGACUUUGAGGGGACUGCCGGUGUCAAGCCGGAGGAAGGUGGGGAUGACGUCAAGUCCUCAUGGCCCUUAUGUCCAGGGCUACACACGUGUUACAAUGGCAAGUACAAAGGGUUGCUUUGUCGCAAGAUAUGGCUAAUCCUCAAAAUUUGUCUCAGUUCGGAUUGUAGUCUGCAACUCGACUACAUGAAGCUGGAAUCGCUAGUGAUCGCAGAUCAGCAUGCUGCGGUGAAUUCGUUCCCGGGUCUUGUACACACCGCCCGUCACACCAUGGAAGUUGACUUCAGCAGAAGACACAGAUCUAACCUACGGGAAGCAUGUGUCCAAGUUGAUGUUAAUGACUGGGGUGAAGUCGUAACAAGGUAAC